Molecule: RNA transcript, 1544 nt
Organism: Dreissena polymorpha
Lineage: Eukaryota; Metazoa; Mollusca; Bivalvia; Myida; Dreissenidae
Exons: 5
Source: RefSeq, a predicted model, not a curated record
UAUUAUUGAAGACAAUAUAAAUAUCAAGAAUGGACAUGGUCGUACCAUAUUCGAUGAAAAAUGCCUGCGCCUCUGUGUUUAUUUUGUUUAAGGAGAAUUUACUCCAACUCAAGAGCGGUCACUUGUGACCAGUGCCAACGUUGGCAUCAUAUCCGAUGUGGAAACACCGGGAUAUCGGAAUAGGUAUAUGACGAAGCGGUUCGUAAUCAGGAUGAACUGCGUUUCGUAUGCAUGAGGUGUCGUCACUACGACGACUCUGAUGAUGACAUGGAUGUAGAUGAAGUCGUCCACGUACUGCGGGUGCCCGAUGCACCGACAGACAUUGAAGCAACUCAGGCUGUUCUGUUGUUGCACGAAGAGUCCGGAAGUGGAGAUACUAUGAACGCAGUUGGAGCAGAUCACUCAACGUCAAUGUUUGACGUUAGUCGCCCAGAGCGUUCCAUGGAGUCAGAAGCAGAAGAGACUGACCUCAACGAUGAAACCGUCCAAGAUGUCGUACUAGAUCGUACACCUACGUACACUGUGGUGGAUGGUGGUUCCAAGAAAGGUUCGCGGAAGCUAGUAUCCAGUGAAGGCUAUGCGUUUGUGGUGAAGAGAACCCUGGUAUCUGGAGUGGCGAUGUAGCGUCCGAGGAAAGGGAGCUGGUUGUCCGGCGGUCAUCAAGCAAACUGGGGAUGCCUUUGUGAAAGGAGCGCGGGGACACAGUCACACAGCAAAUCCCGGCCUUCUCACCUCUGUUCAGAACGCGAAAGAUAUCAAAGCGGCAGCUCGAGGUGACGUGUUCGAGAGUGCACCCGUCAUUGUCCGUCGGGUGUUGGAACCAAACGACCCAAACCUAUCACCUGGUGCUCGAAUCAGUGAGCAAAAUUUGUGUAAACUUGCCAACAGGUGUCGCAAGAACAUACGACCAACAGACCCAGUAUCGACAGAAUUUGAGGUAAAUAAAUCCCCAUCUGUGCAUAAAAAUCGAUGAGCAGUACCUGAGCGAUGCGCUCAACGAUCCCUUCUACAGGGGAACGGUCACGGUAAAGGACCGCAGGCAUGUGAUUCUGGCGACGGACAAGCAGUUGGAGCUGCUGGCGAAAGCUAAGACCUGGUACUUGGACGGAACCUUCAAAGUCGUGAAGGCGCCGAUAACGCAGCUGUUCCAAUACAUGCAUUCGUGAAGUUUGAAGAUGUAGUUAAGCAGCUGCCACUGUGCUUCAUUCUGAUGAGUGGUAGAAAACGAAGAUAUUAUAAAAAGGUGUUGCAGAAAGUGAACACUCUUCUCAGUGAACGGAAAGUAACAUCGUUCGUUGUUGACUUUGAGGCCGGUCUAUGGAAGGCUCUGCGCCAAGUGUACACGGACCCCGAUAUCAAGGGCUGUGCCUUCCACUUCGGCCAGGCAUUGUGGCGGAAGUGCCAGGAGAUUGGUCUCAGUACGGCGUACGAGAGUAGAGAUCGAGUGUAAAAGUUGUUACGGAAGUGCUUCGCGCUCCCUCUUCUGCCACCAGCCGACAUUCGUCCCGCGUUCGGAAAAAUCAAGGAGAAAGGCCAAAGUGAAC